Molecule: long non-coding RNA, 1750 nt
Filed under: Helianthus annuus (common sunflower)
Lineage: Eukaryota; Viridiplantae; Streptophyta; Magnoliopsida; Asterales; Asteraceae
Description: sRNA HanXRQr2_Chr09g0410991
Source: RNAcentral
UUCGAUCAAGAACGAAUAUUUUGAAGGUGUUUCUAUAUUGUGGAGCAUAAGGCAAAUUUUAAAGGAGUUGAUGGUCGAUGGAGGUUUAGUGUUGAGAAUUGCCUACAACCCUUAUCCUACCCCUAAAUAGGCCGUAUAUGAUGGUACACAACGUCUAACGGUUAAAGGAAGAUUGAAAAUUCAAACGAACACGGUUCCAACGGAUAACUCGGAUAUAAACACACCACCUGAAUGAAUCCGAUAAACAAACCAAACCCGUAAUAGGAUACAGUCACACCACCUAUCACGAAUAAGGGUCCAAAGAUCACAUCUCAAGAUGCUAAACUUGAGAUAGCAAUGGAAGAAUUUUAGCUCUCUAGUGGGGAAAACCAAAAAAAAUUAUAAAACUAAUUUCUCUGAUCUUUUCAUUGAUGAACUCGUAAGGUUUUGUUACAAGAGAAAUUACAACCUCCCACUAAGCCAUGAUCCUAUCCUUUAGGGAAUAAUACUGUGAACACGUAAAACAAAAAGGAAACUGAAAGUAGUGGCAUAAAAUAAAAUUACAACUAGGAAAUUAAAAAAAAACAAGAAAUAAUUAAAAGACUGCAUGCAUGGGAGGAUGGCCAGUGGGCUCAUGAGCCUGUCGUUCAUUUGAUAUGGGUUGUGGGCCCAUCAAUCGAAACCCUCCUGACCCAAUUGUUACUUGAUCCAGAAUGAAAGGUUGGUCCAUCUCCUUUGGUAACAACAAGUAAAUCAAAUUCAAUGGCUAGUGAGUGUUGAACCAGGGGUUCGUUCCUAUCAUUCCUGUCAACGUCGGAAAAGUUUGCCCUCAAACUUGGGAUAGGCUCGCCAGGAUCAUAGUAGGGCUGCAGGUCAGCAACAUUAAAAGUCGCAGACACGCCAUAAGCAUCGGGAAGCUUGAUCUUGAAAACGAUCUUUGCUGAGAUGAAUCCACAUGAGAUCACCCCGUUGGAAUGCAAUAGUCUCCGCUAUUUAUCGCGACGUUCUUUUUCCUGCAUAUUAACUUGGUGACCCGAUCACGGACUUGCACAUGAAUGGCUUGAAUAUCCCGAGCCCGAGCCUCGACAUCAUGGCUGAGCUGGACAGAGGUAUCCAAGGCGACUAAAUCAAUUGGAGUGAUAGGAUUGACACCAUAAACAAUCUCAAACGGGCUACGACCAGUGGCCUUGUGUGGGACCUGGUUGUAAGCGAAUGAUGCGUGGGGUAGAGCAACAUCCCACUAAGUAAUCCAGUUAUAAAGUCGAUGCUGAGAUCUUCCCAAGGGGCAUGUGGCACAGGUAAAGGCAGGUACAAUCCCUGAUUUUGUGAACGACCUUUGGCAAUAUAACACGCUAGACAGCGCUAAAUGUAGUGAUCAACACCACGAAUAAACCGAUGCCAAUAAAAGGAGUGUUUGACCAGAAGACUUGUUUUAUCAGCUCCAAAGUGACCAGAGAGGUUUCCCUCAUGUAGUUCUUGGAUCAAAGUUAGACGAAGGCUGGUUCGUGGAAUACACAACCGUGUGCCUUUGAAAAGAUAACCGUUAGAAGGGUGAAAAUCCUUGACUGGAUGGUGAGAGCACUGAAGGAAGAGUUCACCGGAGUCCUCAUUGGUAAUAUACACUUGUUUGAUUGAUUCCAUUUCGACAAUCUUUGCAACUAAUGUAGUAGUAAGGAGAUGUUUACGUGACAAAGCAUUAGCCCCCUUGUUCAACCAACCUGAUUUAUGGCGAAUAGUGAAAGAAAAGGAUUGGAUAAAUUCGACCAAUUUG